CUGCAGCUCAAGUGGUGACCACUAUUAUUGGGCCUAAAACGUUCGUAGCCGGUUUGGUAAAUGCCUGGGUAAAUCGUGUAGCUUAACUAUACGAAUUCCGGGUAGACUGCCAAACUUGAGACCGGGAGAAGCUAGAGGUACUCCUAGGGUAGAGGUGAAAUUCUGUAAUCCUGGGGGGACCACCAGUGGCGAAGGCGUCUAGCUAGAACGGGUCUGACGGUGAGGAACGAAGCCCUGGGGCGCAAACCGGAUUAGAUACCCGAGUAGUCA
This 270-nucleotide ribosomal RNA is filed under the name uncultured archaeon. Its description in RNAcentral is "partial 16S ribosomal RNA". It matches the Rfam family "Archaeal small subunit ribosomal RNA", at positions 477 to 747 of the family's 1478-position model. The record is from RNAcentral.